CUGUUUGGGGGCCAGGCAGUGCCUUCAGCCACCCUGGGAAGAGCCCAGGGUCCCCGUCCUGCCGUGUCCAGGCCUGGGAGGGAGCCUGCUCUUCUUGGGCCAGGCGCUGUGUAUAAAGGGCCCCAUGAGCCGCAGCUACAGUCCAGGCAGGGCUCACCACAGACAGAGGCCAGAGUCUGGGGACAGUGACACUGGGUCAUGUUUAUUCAAUUUCACAUCAGGCGCCUCAGAUCCCUGAAUCAACAGUGGGUUCUGUAAACUGUUGCCUAAGAGGAAGAUCAAAGCCUGGUAGAUGGUGGCCCAGGGAGAGGAUUGGCCAUAAAGGCAGUGGCCCAGCGCCACCUGCAGGGAGGCCGCUGCAGAGCCGGAGCCUGCAGGGACAGAGGCCGCUUCCCCCUCGGCCCACGGCCAGGCCCUGAGGGAGAGGCCACCACCACCCAAGCACCCCUCACACAAGCGGGGGGAUCAGUGGGUCCUGCUCAGGAGGCUCUUCGCCCAGGCACUUCUGCGCCCAGCAGAAUUCCUCAGCUGCCCCCGGGGAGCGGCCAUCGAGGGCUGCUUACGGGACAGGCCUGAGCCCUCAGGGCUGCGCUGGGCACUCAGUCCUCCCAGCGGCUCCCUCCUGCCCAGCAGCUCCACAACUGCUGACCCUGGACACUCCCAUUCCCGGGGCAGGGCACACAUGCCUUGGGGCCCCUGGCUGUCCACCCAGACCCUGCCCGGCCACUGUGCCCAUGCGCUGCCCACCAAAACCUCAUGGAAGGCUUUGCUGGAGGAAGCUCAGGCCUUGGAGGGCUGCCCCGGCCUCCACCCUGGAGGUGACCUCCCCCAGAGACUGCCUCUGCUGGACAGGUGACGGCCAAACAAGAUGUCCACGCAGUGGAAUGUCACCCAGUCCCGAAGGAAAAGGAAAGCCAGGCACGAGGUAAAGUAGGUGACCGUUGAGAACGAGCCGGUGAUGUGGGCCGGCCACCGGGCAAAUGCUGUAGGAGUCCUGCUGCCCAGCUCCUGGGGUGGCCACAUUCCAAGGUGGUCGCUGCUGCUGGGGAGGGGACAGUUUUGUUUGGGAGAUGGCAGGUCCUGGGGAUGGGGAGGUGGCCUCACAAUGCUUGGCUUGGCCUGAUGCCACUGGACAGUGCACCUUAAAGUGGUCACGUGGGGAGUCCCAUGGCACAUGGAUGUCACCACCCUUCUUACGUUGAGGUGAACGUGUUGUUCCACGUUACACUGGUCCUUUUUAGUCUCCCUUGUUUGGGGUCUUCCAAUUGUCUCAGGAAGGGCAGCUGGACGGUGCCCGAGCUCCACCUGCACAACAGGAAUGGGGAGAGAGUCCACUAAAGGCUCCUGGUGGGGAGAGUCCACUAAAGCAGACGGGCCCAAGUGACCUCCACCAGGCCACAGGAGUCCCACGUCCCGUCCCACCCGCCACCUCCAGGUGGAUGGGAGGCCACAGCUUUAGCGUUUGGGGAACUCUGAGGACCACCACGGUCCUGCCCAUCAGCUGCAACACAGGGGGGGCCUCUGGAACCUGGCCACAGGCACAGGAGAAGUCCUGCAGAGCCCCUGGGGACCCUCCCCACCUCUGCCUGAGCCAGCCCUGGGUGAGUGCAUCUGGCCAGCAGUGAAGGGGCUAUCAAGUGUCUGUGCUCUGUCGUGUCCUCUGUCCCUCAUGCUCCCUGCCUCACCCCUGCCUUGGCCUGUGAGGGCUCCUGAGGUGGCUGCUGUCCCAAGGGCAGAUGGCCCCAGGGCCUUCCUCCAGCGGCCCUUCCCCGCUCUGCGUUGGUGCCUCGACUGCCAUCCCCAUGCCUUGUGUUGAGCUCUCUGGCCUGUCUCUAGCCACCUGAGACCCCCGAAGCCCAGGGGCCAGGGAAGGGCGCUGCCCGAGCGGGAGCUCUGUCCCCGGCACCCUGAGGAGCACAGGCCCGGAGGCGCCGUAGAGCAGAGCCUGGUGACUCACACCAGCUGCUCCGGGCUGUGCUCAGGCCUCCUCUCUAGGGGGGACAUCGAGGAACCAGAACUGUGUCCACUGUCCCUGGAAGGACCUGCCUGUGCCCACAGCCUCCUGAGCCUCGUGGAGACCUGGGUCACGGCAGGCGGAGAGGCGCUUCCUCACUGGGACUCACCCCUGGGCUGCGCAGCCAGGGAGGGGGUCUCCCGGGCUCCCCCAGCCCCACCGACCCCUGCAGACUCCUCCCCUGAGGAUGGGUCCAGGGCGCCUCGGGCCGCUCUCCCCAGGACCUCUGCCUCAGGGUGAGCUGCCAGCCCAGAGCUCCAAGCACCAGAGCCACCCUGUCCCUGCCCCCAGGCAGAGCUGGCCCAGCCUGGGAGUGUCCCUCCAUUGGCUGCAGGUUCUUCCUGGUCUGAGCAGUUAGAGCUGAACCCCAGCAUCUGACCCUCACCCCAGGUCUGCCGCAGCAGCUGUCCCCACCCACUGUACAGCUGACACGAGAAGCUCAGAGAAGUCUGGAGUCUUGCCCAAGGCCACACAGCUCUCCAGAGAGGAGCUGGCUCCAGAAGCAGACCUUGGGUGUGCAGGCAGCAGCCCCCCAGCUGAGGGGUGAAGGUCGAGGGGACAGUGUGUGCUGGGAGCCACAGGGCCAGGCGCAGGGCUCAUGGGGGAGCACAGAAUUGCUGCAGGGCCCAGGUGCUGCCCUGCAGCAGCCUUUGGACAGUCCUGCAGGAGGUGGAGCAAGGACAGCCCUGACUCAGCACAAGGCCCAGGAGGAGAGGUGCCAUGGGUCUGCCACCCCUGGAUUGGUGACGGGAGCUGGAGCAGGACAGAGACCUGGCGCUGAGUGGCAUCUCCAUCCCUGCAGUACUGACACCUGCCGGGGCGCGUGGUUUGCGGGCCCAGCGUGAGUUCCUGGCCGGUGGCGGUGCGCAGACCCAGCGGGGCGCUGGAGAAGGAGACAAGGCGUGCGCUCCCUGGUCUGCUGGGAGCGGGGCUGGGGGCAGCAGGCCUGGGGCCCCGGGCAGGGAAGGGCCUCCAGUGCCGCAGUCUGGCGGGGCACAAAAUAACCAAGCCGCCACACAGCCCCGUAGGUUCAAAACAGGAACUCCUUUACUCUCCGCACCCCGGGAACGCCGCCUCCCCGACACACCCCACACCACCCCACACCGGAACUCCCCCCACCCACCCGAACUUCACCAGCCAACGCGAACUCUGCAGGCAUCCCCACGAGAGCUCAAAAGUCAUCAUCUUAAUGGCUCGCUGGCGUCACCUCUCAACCACUACUUCUGGCAAAAUGCCAUGCGUCAUCCCGACUCGGCUGUGGCCCUCAACACUCCAGGGGCCAGGGGCCUGGUCAAGGGGAGUUUCCGUAGCCAGUGGGGACACAGAAAAAUGGCUCCUGCACCUGCCCAAAAGCUCAGGCGGGUCUCCUGCCCUCCAGGAGCCACCAUGGCAGAGGCUGUGACAGGGAGGACAUGUGGGGAUAGCGACAGGGCCCAGGCCACCUCAGGCUUCUGCGCUCUGAGAGUCUUUAAGGGCCGAUUCCUUGGUCAAGGGAACCAACGAGGAAGGACACAGUGGGUCUGAAGAGGUCGGGUGCUGGCGCCACGUCCCCACGGACGCAGCAGAGACACCCAGGAGUCCCCACGUGCCGGGUGCAGAGGGGCCUGCUGCUGCCUCAGGGCUGUGGGCUGUGCUGCGUCCCUGAGAGACCAGUGUGUGCAACUCCACAACCAGGAAGCAGGUCUCGGCGUCCACCUAUCAGGGAGCCCGGGGGCCGAGGCCGGUGGAAAGCAGGGUGCGUCCCAGAGCAGAGCCUUCUUUGUCCCCAGGUGAAAGGUGGCAGGACAGCCCAUCCCCCAGAUCCGAGGUGCCCCAGAUGCCCCUGUGCCCUGUGCACUCUGCCACCCCCCCCACCCACCAGAGACCUGAGGGAGCUCACUCACUACCCGAUGGCCUCAGUGCCCCCGCCCUGUGCAGCCAGCUCACCUGUGGCAGGUGGCCCUGGGAGCUGGGGCCCAGGUCUGGCAGAGCUGGCCCCACACUUGUGUGGCCCAGGGAUGGACGGCCAGUCUCCUGGGUUUGCAGACCUGCAGCCCAACUUCAGGGCUGUCCCAGGAGCACCGCCCAGACCAGCCCUGGCAGACGGCUCCCAGCUCUGUCUCCCAAGGGUGUCGGGUCCUCCUGCCCCAGUGGACAGCCUGGACACCGCACGGGGCAGCCUGUGCUCACAGCACGGCUCCUACCUGCUUCUGUUCUGUUUUAAAAACUUGCUCACAUAGAGAAGACAAAGUGAUAAAGCUAAGGACCCUGAGCAUUGUCACCAAAGGCUACAUGAAUCAGAGCAUCACGUGCCUCAGAAUCACUCAUCCAUCAAAAAAUAAACCCAAUUAAUAAAAAUUCUACAAGCAAUUAAUCUAGAGAGAAAAAGGGAAAGGUUUUUCUUUUUUUUUCCCAUGGCAGGGGUCAAAGCCAGGCAAGUGCCCUCGUCCUGAGCCAUGUCCCAGCACCGUCCUGAGGGCAGGAAGCACAGAGGUAACCAGAGUCCUAAGCCUGGCAUCCAGAGUGCGCUUCUUUGUCACCCUGAUGUCUGUGACAUGCACCCGGGAUUCCUGGCUGGGGAAGGACACCCCCAUGGCCAGAGGCCACCCCAGGGACCAAGAGAAGCCAGGAGGAAGCCCAGGAUCGGGUGGAGAAGGAGUGCUGUUGAGAGCCCUCCCAGCCCAGCCACCCCGCCCUGCACCCUGCAGGCUCAGCAGCCCCACCUUGGAGGGACUCACCCCAAACUCUGGUCCAGACCAGCCUCAGCCUCCUGGAAGAUGGGGAGCAGCCCCCCAGCCCAAGCCUUGGUCCCUGAACAAGGGGCUGCACUUGGGAUGCUCUCAGCCCAUGGCCUGGAUUCUCCAUUCUGAACUCGCCCCCCAUCUCCACCUGGGGCAUCUGACCCCCUGCUCCAGAGGCGAGUUUUAAACAUGAAUUCUAAGACAGGAACCAGCAAAGUGGGUCUGCCGAGAGGAAUGAGGGACCCUUGAACCCCAGGAGGGGAGACCCCAGAACCCCAGGAGAGACCCUGACCCAAAAGAGAGCCCCAUGCUCCAGGAGCAACAGGGCCACCCUCACACCUCUCCCAGGCCGGUGUCCACCGCCUCGACCCAGCAUAAAUGCAGGGGGAGUCAGGGCUGCUGUCUCCCAAAGCAGGCAGGCGAGGCAUCAAGACUCCAAGCAGAGGGUGCUGCAGGAACAUGAUGCAGGUCUCUGGCACGGAGGAGCCACAGGGCUGCAGGAGCCUGGCCCUCCCGCCUGAGUCUCGGGGCACCUGCUGCCCCCGGAAGCUUCCAGAGUCCCCCCUCCGUGACCACGCCCUCUUCUGGCCCUUCCACUCUGGCACCGGUGCUGUCUCGCUGCUCUCCAACCAGCUUGUGCCAGACUCCCUGCUCAGCCAGGUGGUCACCUGAUGCCCAUCCAUCCACACAGGCCAGGGCCUGGCACCAGACCUGUUUCCUAUUUCUAGCCAGGCCCCAGGUACGGAGGGUACAGCUCCGUCACAACACGACCCCUGACUCUCCAAACACCCUAGCCCUAGACGCUCUCCCCAAGCAGGAGACUUUAAUUAAAACCCACUGGACACAAAUCAGAGCCAGAAACACCGCCUGGCUCGUGCCACACUUGGGGAUCUAGGGAAACAGCCGUCAGUUCCUCUCUUCCUGACCUGAGUCAGAAUGUGAAGGCGAUAAUACACGAAGCUCAUUUCCAUGGCCCUAACCUUCCAGAAUGCCCGCGCCCCUCGGCAUCAGGGCAGCUCAUCACUACCUCGCCCCCCCUCCAGGAAGGCCGCCCUGCCCGCUCGGGCGCAGAGCACAGAGCUCAGGAAGCAGGUCAGGUGGCCCCUGGGGACACCCUGGUUACCUUGCCAGCGGUGUCCCCAUGCCCCAGGUGAGACCAGGAGAUGCCAAUAAUAACAGCAGCUAACACGGUCAGUCCCCACUUCAGUCUAGCCCAGCACACGGGUUGGACGCCAGAGUCCAGGAUGGGUUAACUAAGUGACAGCUGUCAAUUAAAAGCCUCAUGCCCUCCCUCAGCCUCCACCAAUCACAACACAGAUAACACGGGAGCCAUCGUCAGGGACCAAUCAUGGUGCUUCUUUCAAGGCCAGUCUGUGAUUUGGCCCCGGCACCUGUCAGUCAUGCAACGCCCUCGGCAAAGCUGGGUUCCUGCUGGGGUCCAGGUGACCAGCUCGGGGAGCACUUGACUAAAGUGGGUGAAAGAGGAGGAGCAGCCGACCAGGACCCGGUGCGGCAGAGAGGCGGGAAGUUGGAGCCCAGCACCCUGGAGUUAGAGAAGAGGCCGCUGGCCUAAGGUCAGCCAGAGACAGGACCUGGGGACUGGCCACAUCCACAGAGAACCGUGGCCAAGAGGAAGAUGGACACGUGCAGAGGAGGGACGCCAGAAAACCUUCCCGGAGGAGCUUCCAGGCGUCUCAGGACUUGAAAGUGCAAAGGAGGAAACGCUGGACCGUGACCCAGGCUCAGGAGGAGUGUGGGGGCUCCCCCAGGACAGACGGCCCUGGGUCAGUGGCGGGAGACAAGCCGGCUGGAGCCACCUGACAGCCACCAUGCGGUGCUCCACAGAGCCUGCUGCAGGUGCGGCACUCACCAGCACCGGGCCGUCUUAUUUUUUCUUGUUUCUGUAUUUGUUCUUUUUAGUUGUACAUGACUGUUACGGCCUGGAUGUGAGGUGUCCCCCAAAAGCAAUGCAAGAAGAUUCAAAGGAGAAAUGAUUGGGUUGUGAGCUUCUUAACCAAUCAGUGCAUUAAUCCCCUGAUGGAAUUAACUGGGUGGCAACUGGAGGCAGGUGGGGUGCGGCUGGAGGAGGUGGGCAUUGGGGCGUGGCUUUGGGGUGCAUUUGUACCUGGCAAGUGGAGUCUCUCUGCUUCUUGAUCCUCACAUGAGCUGCUGCCCUCUGCCUCCCUCUGCCGCCAGGAUGUUCAGCCUCACCUGAGCCCUGAGGAAUGGAGCAGACUUCUGUGGACUAAGACCUCUAAAACUGUGAGCCCCCAAAUAAACUCUUCCUCCUUUACAAUUGUUCUGGUCGGCUCUUUUAGUCACAACAGCAGAAAAGCUGACUAAAACAGAAUUUGGUACCAGGAGUGGGGUUCAGGAGCUUACGGAGCUUUGUGGGAUUGGAAGGAGGAAUUUGAGAUUGUAGCAGUGCGGGCUGGAAAUGCUUUAGAUUGUCGUAAGCUGAGCUGAGUGGCCAAUCCUGGGGGAAGCUCCGAAGACCAGAAUGCCAAAAGGACCAUGGUCAGCUAAGACUGGGCUCAAGAGGGUUCAGCAGAGGACUCAAUCGGAAUCUGGAGAAGAGGCCAUUCAGUUAUGUUCUGGCCGAGAAGUGAUCUGCGUGUCUGAUUAGUUCUACUGUCUUUCCUGUUCCCCAC
Molecule: RNA transcript, 7385 nt
Organism: Marmota monax (woodchuck)
Lineage: Eukaryota; Metazoa; Chordata; Mammalia; Rodentia; Sciuridae
Exons: 3
Source: RefSeq, a predicted model, not a curated record